UAAUCACAAGAGAAGCCGCGUGAAGUAGCGGAAGUUGAGGGAGUUGUCGCGUACCACCUUCGAUAACCAAAGCAGACCGCUAAUAAUUAAAUAUUCGACUAAAGCGUUCCGGGUUACACAGCUUUCUGCACAGUUCCCAAAAAAUAACCGAAAAUGACGGUGGCCGUAUUUUUUGGCUGUACCUUCAUUGCCUUCGGGCCUGCAAUCGCUCUGUUCUUGUUUACCAUCGCCAGGGAGCCACUGAGGGUCAUCUUCCUCAUAGCAGGAGCUUUUUUCUGGCUUGUCUCUCUCCUAUUGUCCUCUCUGGUUUGGUUUAUCUCCGUUCAAGUAAGUAACAAGGACAGUGCGGUUCAGCAGAAAGGCCUCCUCAUCUUUGGUGUGGUGCUGUCCGUCCUCCUGCAGGAGACUUUCCGCUUCGCUUAUUAUAAACUGCUGAAGAAAGCAAAUGAAGGCCUCCUCACCCUCAGCCAGGAGGAAACUAUGCCCAUCUCCAUCCGACAACUGGCCUACGUGUCUGGCCUUGGCUUUGGAUUCAUGAGUGGCGCAUUCUCCGUGGUGAACAUUCUGGCUGACUCUGUUGGUCCGGGCACUAUAGGGAUCCAUGGGGACUCGCAGCACUACUUUUUAUCUUCAGCAUUCAUGACGAUGGCCAUUAUCCUUCUCCACAUGUUCUGGGGUGUAGUAUUCUUUGAUGCCUGUGAAAAGCAGCAUUGGUGGGCAGUUGCUGCCGUUGUCAUCAGUCACCUGGUUGUUUCCUGUCUGACCUUCCAGAACCCAGAGUAUGUUGCCAGCCUGGUUCCCACAUACAUUAUCUUGUUCCUAAUGGGUGUUUGGGCCUUUUACUCUGCUGGCGGGUCCCUCAGGAGCCUCAAACUUUUCCUGACUUGCAAAGACAAAGAUUUCCUGCUUGCUAACCACCGAUCCAGAUAACACAACACUCCAAGGAGCUUGCAGGACUCUACAUCCAAAAUUCUCUCAGAUGCAUUGAACACAUCUGACUGGGAUGCCACAUUGAUCGAGUAAUUCAUGAAGUAGCUGAAAAAAACACUGACAACCACACAGACAAAUAGACGCACACACACAGUCACUGUCUCCAUUAUCUGGAUGCCAAGUUGAUGUGUAACCUCCCCUCCUCUCAGCCUUCCAUCACUGUAAAUUUAGCAACAGAAGCUUCUCAGCUGCUCCUUUCCAAAACCCAAGCCCCCGUCUCCCAUCCACAGAAUUUCAGCCAUGUCCUUCUCUGGGGUCAUGGCUUCCCCCUCCCCACAUUUUACACACACAAACAUACAGUAUACUACACUCACACCUCAAUCUCACCCCACAGCCAAUAAGGGCCAGAUGAGCUCAAGU
Molecule: RNA transcript, 1350 nt
Organism: Syngnathoides biaculeatus (alligator pipefish)
Lineage: Eukaryota; Metazoa; Chordata; Actinopteri; Syngnathiformes; Syngnathidae
Gene: aph1b
Gene name: APH1B gamma secretase subunit
Exons: 7
Source: RefSeq, a predicted model, not a curated record